AUUGAACGCUGGCGGCAGGCCUAACACAUGCAAGUCAAGCGGAUGAAGGGAGCUUGCUCCUGGAUUCAGCGGCGGACGGGUGAGUAAUGCCUAGGAAUCUGCCUGGUAGUGGGGGAUAACGUCCGGAAACGGGCGCUAAUACCGCAUACGUCCUGAGGGAGAAAGUGGGGGAUCUUCGGACCUCACGCUAUCAGAUGAGCCUAGGUCGGAUUAGCUAGUUGGUGGGGUAAAGGCCUACCAAGGCGACGAUCCGUAACUGGUCUGAGAGGAUGAUCAGUCACACUGGAACUGAGACACGGUCCAGACUCCUACGGGAGGUAGCAGUGGGGAAUAUUGGACAAUGGGCGAAAGCCUGAUCCAGCCAUGCCGCGUGUGUGAAGAAGGUCUUCGGAUUGUAAAGCACUUUAAGUUGGGAGGAAGGGCAGUAAGUUAAUACCUUGCUGUUUUGACGUUACCAACAGAAUAAGCACCGGCUAACUUCGUG
This 484-nucleotide ribosomal RNA is filed under the name uncultured bacterium. RNAcentral describes it as "partial 16S ribosomal RNA". It matches the Rfam family "Bacterial small subunit ribosomal RNA", at positions 30 to 507 of the family's 1533-position model. The record is from RNAcentral.